RNAcentral lists this ribosomal RNA (766 nucleotides) under Staphylococcus aureus. RNAcentral's name for it is "bacterial SSU rRNA". It matches the Rfam family "Bacterial small subunit ribosomal RNA", at positions 28 to 776 of the family's 1533-position model. Lineage: Bacteria; Bacillati; Bacillota; Bacilli; Caryophanales; Staphylococcaceae. The record is from RNAcentral.
GAUGAACGCUGGCGGCGUGCCUAAUACAUGCAAGUCGAGCGAACGGACGAGAAGCUUGCUUCUCUGAUGUUAGCGGCGGACGGGUGAGUAACACGUGGAUAACCUACCUAUAAGACUGGGAUAACUUCGGGAAACCGGAGCUAAUACCGGAUAAUAUUUUGAACCGCAUGGUUCAAAAGUGAAAGACGGUCUUGCUGUCACUUAUAGAUGGAUCCGCGCUGCAUUAGCUAGUUGGUAAGGUAACGGCUUACCAAGGCAACGAUGCAUAGCCGACCUGAGAGGGUGAUCGGCCACACUGGAACUGAGACACGGUCCAGACUCCUACGGGAGGCAGCAGUAGGGAAUCUUCCGCAAUGGGCGAAAGCCUGACGGAGCAACGCCGCGUGAGUGAUGAAGGUCUUCGGAUCGUAAAACUCUGUUAUUAGGGAAGAAUAUAUGUGUAAGUAACUGUGCACAUCUUGACGGUACCUAAUCAGAAAGCCACGGCUAACUACGUGCCAGCAGCCGCGGUAAUACGUAGGUGGCAAGCGUUAUCCGGAAUUAUUGGGCGUAAAGCGCGCGUAGGCGGUUUUUUAAGUCUGAUGUGAAAGCCCACGGCUCAACCGUGGAGGGUCAUUGGAAACUGGAAAACUUGAGUGCAGAAGAGGAAAGUGGAAUUCCAUGUGUAGCGGUGAAAUGCGCAGAGAUAUGGAGGAACACCAGUGGCGAAGGCGACUUUCUGGUCUGUAACUGACGCUGAUGUGCGAAAGCGUGGGGAUCAAACAGG